Molecule: small nuclear RNA, 105 nt
Organism: Jaculus jaculus (lesser Egyptian jerboa)
Lineage: Eukaryota; Metazoa; Chordata; Mammalia; Rodentia; Dipodidae
Source: Ensembl
GUGGCUCACUUCAGCAGCACAUAUACUAAAAUUGGGAUGAUACAGUGAUUAGCAUGGCCCUUGUGCAAAGAUGACAUUCAAAUUCAUGAAGCAUUCCAUAUUUAA